GACGAACGCUGGCGGCGUGCCUAAUACAUGCAAGUCGAACGAGAGCGCCCGGUGCUUGCGCUGGUCAAUCUAGUGGCGAACGGGUGAGUAACACGUGGGUAACCUGCCCAUCAGGGGGGGAUAACAUCCGGAAACGGAUGCUAAAACCGCAUAGGUCUUCGAGCCGCAUGGCUUGAAGAGGAAAAGAGGCGCAAGCUUCUGCUGAUGGAUGGACCCGCGGUGCAUUAGCUAGUUGGUGAGGUAACGGCUCACCAAGGCCGUGAUGCAUAGCCGACCUGAGAGGGUGAUCGGCCACAUUGGGACUGAGACACGGCCCAAACUCCUACGGGAGGCAGCAGUAGGGAAUCUUCCGCAAUGGACGCAAGUCUGACGGAGCAACGCCGCGUGAGUGAAGAAGGUUUUCGGAUCGUAAAACUCUGUUGUUAGAGAAGAACAAGUGCUAGAGUAACUGUUAGCGCCUUGACGGUAUCUAACCAGAAAGCCACGGCUAACUACGUG
RNAcentral lists this ribosomal RNA (498 nucleotides) under uncultured bacterium. RNAcentral's name for it is "partial 16S ribosomal RNA". It matches the Rfam family "Bacterial small subunit ribosomal RNA", at positions 28 to 507 of the family's 1533-position model. The record is from RNAcentral.